UUUAUGAUUUAUCCCACGUGGCCCAUUCCCACUGCCAUGACUAAUCUCCUUAUAUUCAUUUUUCAAACCUAUGGGAUACCAGAAAGAAGCCUAACCAUACUACCCUCUCUCCAGCUUCUCAGUCUCAGAGUUUGCCAUCUAUACAUUUGAUACUAUCCAGUGUCCUACCAAUGAUUCUGAUUCUAGAGCUCAGGGACUUGGAAAAGAAGACUCCUUCCUGUCAGCAUCUCCACAUACUUGCAGGGUUCACCUAGGGCAGGAAGCUCAAGGUCCUGUGCACAUAGCCAUUGCUGGGUUCUCACCUGCAGCCUGAGGUGAAGGUCAUAGAUUUCUCAGGAGGGAAAAGUGGCCUACGUAUCUUUCUUUUAUUUUUUCAAGUGAGCACUUAUUCAUAAACUCAUUAAAACUUUUUUCUUAAUAAGCAUUUCCUAAGCUCCUAAAACAAAGUCCAGAUGUCCCAGGCCUGAGUAGUAACUUUCAGACAGGUACUAAACAGACAGGGAUGCUAAACCCUAGAAAGGUGCCCCUUAGAGAGGGGUUGGGGGAGGGCAAAAUGAAAAUAUAAAAGGUACCUAAGGAUCCCAUUACCGCUAACAAAGCUUCCCCACCCACAGGAAUCCAGCACACUUUCUAAUGGCUGGGAACACUGCUUAAGAAAUGGUUCCCACUUCCUCUCAGCGCACGGUCACUAGUUUCCACCCACCGAGGUGCCUGCAUCUCCAUAUCUGGUUUUCUGGAGCUCUGAUGAAUCCACAGAGGGCUACACUAGACCCAAAAGGGGUUGUUUAGCAGCACAUUCCCUUUGGCACAUCGCUGCACACACCCACACCUCAGUCCCUUGCCUUCUUUGGCUGCUUCUUGACCUUCUGCUGAUCUUAAUGGCAUUGGAGCUUUACAAAAACAGUGCUGUCUUCCCACAGCAAAGAAGUGUUCUCAAUUCUCCAUCUACCAUGAUCACAGCAGAGAAAGCAGAUGAGAGGGUAGACAAAUGUGUGUCUCUGGUUCAGGCUCCUACCUAGCUCUCCUUACAACCACUACUUGGGUUCCUCAAUGGCCCCCUGAUCUCAGGUAGCCUUGACACAUGUCCCUGUUCAGCCCUGCUGGAAAGCGGGCCCUGAUUCCACAGAGCACCAACAAAGAACCCUUGCUUGCUUCUGUAGUAUUCUUACCCCGAUGUCGUCCACUCAUUAAUUGUGAGAAAACAUUGCACAAGCAAAAGACAGCCAACAAAACACUCGGUGAGCACCGUCCAGAUGUCCCAACAUCAUGAAAGAUAGAGAAAGGUGUCACAGAGCUAAGAAGACCUAAUAUAGACAUGGCAGCAAAAUGCACACUGGUGAGAUUAAAGCCUUUGGAGUGGCCCACAGCCUCUUUCUUGCUGGUGUGCAUUUCUGUGAAGUCGUGUGAGACAUUCACAAGGUGAAGUUGGGUAGACAGGUGCUUCCCGAAUAAUCUUUGUGACACUGCUGUAAUUCUCCAACCUUUCCAAAAUAAAGGGAUUUAAAAGAAGCUGCCACACAAAGCAGCUAUUGCCCCCUCACUCUUUGUCAUCUUUUGUCGACUGCUUUCAGGCCUUGGGCAGAACAAAAGAGAGAACAAUGCUCUUUGCUGGUUGGGCACACCAAUGAUCAAAGAGAUAAGAUUCUUAAUGACAAGGGCCACAGCCUGCUACCAGACAGGCCAUUAGGGUAGGUGGCUUGCAUUGGCCCUAGGCCCACACUCCCUCUCUCCCCUCCUCCUUCCCUCCCUUCCUCCUUUCCUCCCAGUGGCCAUUCAGAUGACCUGGGUGAGAACAGAGCUUCUCAGGAAGCCUGAAGUUCUGAGUCCAGAGCUUAGGAAGGCUCUGAGGAAGCCUCUGUGCCUUAAUGUCCCCAAAGUCAGCAGGCUCAUACCCAGCUCAAAGCCAGCAAGUCCACUCUCAGAUUAGUGGGUUCUAGAUUCUUCUUCAGGGAGAAAAGAGAGUGGAGUUGAAACACCCUUAAUACCCUAAUUCUCUCAAAAGAUGAUUCAGACUUUUGUAGCUUCAUUAGCAUUUGCAGAUAAAAAUACAUUUUAAGUGGCAUUAUGCUAAGUAAUUAUUCUUACAAGAUGUGGAAUUAAAUACAUUUCCCUCAGCAUGAAAUUAUUCCUGCCACGUACUGAGUUGGGUGACAGCUUAAAAAGAAUUUGGACAGGGGGUUGCCACGAAAGGAAGAAGCAAUCUAUAUUCUUGAGGCGGUGGGGGGAAACCAACCCAAAAUAUCCACCAAAGGUAAAGUCCUUGUAGCAAAAUCAUUUUGGCUAGAUGGAAUAUUAAACCUGCUACUAUAAAUUUCACGCUUUGCAUUCCUAAAGCAGACGCAGAGAAAUGAUGCCAAAAAUUAAUCAGAAAUAAUGCCCGCCUUGCACGCUUUUUCCAGUAGGGGGCAGAACAGAUAAGACUGUGUGCGCUGGAGACCUCCCUAGACUGAUAAUCAGGCUUGUUUGUAAUUGCCUCUGUAAAGAUAUGUAGCCGCAUGCUUGAAUGCUUAUUUACAUUUUGGGAUGUGGUUGGGAAUAGAGGCUUUCGAUUUAGAACUUUGUUUCUGUCUCUAAGUACAUGGGAGACUUUCAGCUGUCGCGAACCUUGUAUUUACCAAUGCAUGGUGUUCAAUUGCUGGAUUUAAUUGUUACAGUACAGUGAAUUAUUCUAUUAUUUCUAACUAUUUUUUAUCUGGAAAAUUCAAACUUUCCAGGCUUUAGGGCAGGAUAAAAUGGCUCUGAGCAUGUCAGCGUCUCAAGAGUACAUUAUUUUCUUAUUGGAUUGCAUUAACUUUACAGAUGAAAAUUUGAAGGAGAAUUAGAAGGCUUAGAGAUGGAAAAUUCGGAGAAGAAAAGAAUUAUGUCUUCAGAUUUCUGGAGGGGCUAGCUGGUGACUACGAGUCCAGAGAACAUUCACCACGACAUUCAUUAGAAGGGAGGAGUGAAAGGUGUCCACCAGAGCAUCUUCUGAUUCUCCUCAGAGCUCUGUGUGUGAGUUAUAUAAGUCCUCAGGAGCCUGCAGGCCUGGAGCAAAGUCAUGCUACAGGAAGAGAACUGCUGACAAUAGCAUCCUGGUACCCCAGGGACCUGAGAGAGACUGCCCAAGACACACUGCUCCAAGGCUGGUGGAAGCUGGAAGUGAACAAGAAAGGUAACGACUGUGAUAGGACAAGAGGAACCACAGACUGCAAGGGGGACAGGAAGUGCACAGAGCCACCACAAGAAAUCCACCUGGCUUUCUCUUGACUUGGGAAAAUGAUGUUCCAGGGUUCAGUAUGUCAUCAGCAACCUUCAGGACCCUGUAUGAGACAGCAGAGUUCCUGAUGUUAUUUCUUUUAAAACUGCUGUUUGCACAAGUAACAUCUAAAUGACAGGGAAUAACAGAAUAUUGAUUGUGCUCUGUGAGAGGAGACGAACCCCACCACGCGCUGGGGAGGCGUGAGGGAGCCAUGGAGCACAGCUACCACGCUAAGAGACCUACCAAGAGGAACGCCAGAGUGAGCAAACUCAUUAAAAAAUUUCCAAGUGGAGCUUGCUCAUUCAGUUGAUUUCAAGUGCCUUGCUGGACUUGAAAGAUGACCUUAGAAGAAUUCAGCGGGCAUCUGUGUGAAGCACAGAAGCUUCAUAAGAAAGAGGGCAGACCUAUUGUGUAAUGUCUAGUCAGAGAGGAGAGUCCAAGUCACAAGUUGUCUACCUGGAGCCAUCCUCAGUAUCACAGGGUGCAAUCAAAUAUCCUUCAAAGACAAAAAGGAAAGACUGCUGUCCUCAACUGUAGUCAGCCAAUGACAGUCCUCAGUCCAAGAGAAAUCCAAGUCAUGGACGGAAGAUAUAUCAGGAUUGCCUAGCCUCAUCAUUUCAACAAAUAGCCUCCAAAAGGAUGGAGCCAGAGGGUGAUAGGGACCUAGGCGUGAUUUGGUUUUGCAGGACAGUGGCAAUGAAGAACAAAAAGUAAUGUCUCUGCUCACAAAACAAAAAGCUCAUAUAGGCAGUGGUAUGCACCUUAAUCCCAGAACUCAAGAGGCAGAGACACACAGAGAACUUUGUGAGUUCAAGGGCAGUCUGGUCUACCUAGUGACUUCUAAGACAACCAAAGGAUACAUAGAAAGACACUGUCUCAAAUAACCUAACGAACAAAAACAACAACAACAAAAAAAACAGACAAAAAACAAAAACCAAAA
Molecule: long non-coding RNA, 4178 nt
Filed under: Mus musculus (house mouse)
Lineage: Eukaryota; Metazoa; Chordata; Mammalia; Rodentia; Muridae
Description: predicted gene, 49519
Source: RNAcentral